UGUUUCGGCUAGGGGGCCAUCCCGGCUUACCAACCCGAUGCAAACUACGAAUACCGAAGAAUGUUAUCACGGGAGACACACGGCGGGUGCUAACGUCCGUCGUGAAGAGGGAAACAACCCAGACCGCCAGCUAAGGUCCCAAAGUCAUGGUUAAGUGGGAAACGAUGUGGGAAGGCACAGACAGCCAGGAUGUUGGCUUAGAAGCAGCCAUCAUUUAAAGAAAGCGUAAUAGCUCACUGGUCGAGUCGGCCUGCGCGGAAGAUGUAACGGGGCUAAACCAUGCACCGAAGCUGCGGCAGCGACGCGUAUGC
This 311-nucleotide ribosomal RNA is filed under the name Enterobacter asburiae. RNAcentral describes it as "partial 23S ribosomal RNA". It matches the Rfam family "Bacterial large subunit ribosomal RNA", at positions 911 to 1219 of the family's 2925-position model. The record is from RNAcentral. Lineage: Bacteria; Pseudomonadati; Pseudomonadota; Gammaproteobacteria; Enterobacterales; Enterobacteriaceae.